GACGAACGCUGGCGGCGUGCUUAACACAUGCAAGUCGAGCGGUAAGGCCCUUUCGGGGGUACACGAGCGGCGAACGGGUGAGUAACACGUGGGUGACCUGCCCUCAGCUCUGGGAUAAGCCUGGGAAACCGGGUCUAAUACUGGAUAUGACUCCAUGACGCAUGUUGUGGGGUGGAAAGCCUUGUGCGGCUGAGGAUGGGCCCGCGGCCUAUCAGCUUGUUGGUGGGGUGANGGCCUACCAAGGCGACGACGGGUAGCCGGCCUGAGAGGGCGACCGGCCACACUGGGACUGAGACACGGCCCAGACUCCGUACGGGAGGCAGCAGGUGGGGAAUCUUGCGCAAUGGGCGAAAGCCUGACGCAGCGACGCCGCGUGAGGGAUGACGGCC
Molecule: ribosomal RNA, 389 nt
Filed under: uncultured bacterium
Lineage: Bacteria
Description: bacterial SSU rRNA
Rfam family: Bacterial small subunit ribosomal RNA
Source: RNAcentral